Molecule: ribosomal RNA, 492 nt
Filed under: uncultured bacterium
Lineage: Bacteria
Description: partial 16S ribosomal RNA
Rfam family: Bacterial small subunit ribosomal RNA
Source: RNAcentral
AGUGAACGCUGGCGGUAGGCCUAACACAUGCAAGUCGAACGGCAGCACAGUAAGAGCUUGCUCUUACGGGUGGCGAGUGGCGGACGGGUGAGGAAUACAUCGGAAUCUACUUUUUCGUGGGGGAUAACGUAGGGAAACUUACGCUAAUACCGCAUACGACCUACGGGUGAAAGCAGGGGAUCUUCGGACCUUGCGCGAUUGAAUGAGCCGAUGUCGGAUUAGCUAGUUGGCGGGGUAAAGGCCCACCAAGGCGACGAUCCGUAGCUGGUCUGAGAGGAUGAUCAGCCACACUGGAACUGAGACACGGUCCAGACUCCUACGGGAGGCAGCAGUGGGGAAUAUUAGACAAUGGGCGCAAGCCUGACCCAGCCAUACCGCGUGGGUGAAGAAGGCCUUCGGGUUGUAAAGCCCUUCUGUUGGGAAAGAAAAGCAGCAGGUUAAUACGCCGCUGUUCUGACGGUACCCAAAGAAUAAGCACCGGCUAACUUCGUG